RNAcentral lists this long non-coding RNA (1796 nucleotides) under Ananas comosus (pineapple). RNAcentral describes it as "long non-coding RNA (ACOM_LNC032798)". The record is from RNAcentral. Lineage: Eukaryota; Viridiplantae; Streptophyta; Magnoliopsida; Poales; Bromeliaceae.
AAUAGGUAAGCAACUAACCUGUUAUCAUGUCCAAAGGUGAAGCUAUUCACUCGUUCAUUUACCUCAUUUACUUAUUCAUUAAUCUCAUGGCUUACCCGAAGGCUCGCCUACAGCUCACUAGCCAUCUCGACACGUAGGGAGAAUUCACUCACACUACGGACCCGAGACCGUCUGGCGGGGCCAUAUAGGCAAUCCCUGGCGUGACCAACAUCCGGAGCGCACUACUUGUGUGGGGCUUCCAUCACAAGAUUUAACAGACCGUGAGCAUGAUCCAAUCCUCAUCUCGAGAAUACCCUAUCCUCUAGGGUCACAAUCAUCAUAUAGUCCAUAGGUUUCAUAUACACUAUGACUCACAUAUGUCACUCGUUCUUUUGUUUACUAUCAACUAGAUGCCACUCGUUCUUUACAAGUUUCCAAUGCAAUAGCCAAUACAUUACUAGAUUUCAUCCACACUUAUCAUCUCAUUAUAGGGUUCCACAUCACAUAUAUAAACCUCAAGCAUGCUAGAUAUAAGUACUAAGCCAAAUACAUUAUUCUACCAAAAAAACAUGCAAGGUAUAGAACCAAACCCUCAUUUAUCACCCUAUAAUGCAAGAUGUCAAUAUGCAAUUUGAUUAAUAUAAAACUUAGACAUAAAAGGGAGCCCGAUUGCUUCGGGAUGGACACCACCCACCUUUUAUAGCAUUCCGAUUGCUCGUCGUCACUCGCAAUCGGCCUCCUGCGGCGCACGCCGCACGGCUCGACCCAACUCACGCGCAACUGCCAAGAGACCUCCUAUCCGCGAUCCGUCUGUUCUGGAGUUUAUUCCCCGACACCACGAUGCUACGAUUCCAUUUCCAUGAUUUUUGGAAGCUUUCGCCGCGAGCUGCGGCAAUCUGUACCUUAACGGCUUCGAUCCUCAAUACCUCCGCGUACACUCGUCGGAUCGCCGAACCGAGCGCACCGUUGCGUUCGUAGACCUACCAAUUAGGUUAGAGAAGGGUCAAUUGAGAUCAAAACCCCCUUAUGUAUCAAAACCCCAUUUUGGAGCCCUAAUCGCAAUUACGGCAAAAUCCGCUAUUAAAGCUUCGGAUUUAAGUGCUAAUCAUCAAUUAAGCUUGCUAGGAUUCCAUCUAAACCAUUCAUAGAGAUCAAAACCACAUCCUUAGAGAUCUACCAUUAACAAGGGUAGCAAGCUUACCCCUCAAGAUGCUCCAAUGGCAAGGAAGGAGAGAAGAAGAUGGAGAUGACCACCCUCUUGAUCUUCUUCUCCUUCUUCUCCUUCUUUCUUUUCUUCUUCUUCUUCUCUUCUUCUUCUUCUUCUUCUUCUUCACGUUUAGAGAGAAAGAGAGAGAUGGUGUUGGAGUGAGGGAAAUGAGAGAAAGAGAGAAAGAGCCCUUUCUAUACACUCUCAUUAGUGCAAAAUUGCAUAAAAACCCCUCAACAAUGCAUCUCUCAACAGCCCAAAAUGGGCAUUUUCGCGCUCGGGGACCGGUCCUUGCGGUGAGAGACCGGUCCCUGAGAGACCGGUCCUUGCGGUGAGAGACCGGUCCCCGAAGGUCCAGUACUCAGCCUCAAGGACUUAGCCAAAUUUCAGCCUCUUUCACCGUUUCUUCUCCGUUUUCGCCCGUUUUCGCUCGUUUGACCUCCGAUUCGUUUCAAAUCGAACCGAGACUCUUCAAACAUGUUUUCGAGCAUGUUUUCAUCAUCUUUUCAUCCACGCUAAUGCCGGAUUUAUCUCACGGCCCAACAUAGCCUUUCGGCUCCGUUUUAGCGCCUACGCGCACCGAAACGCCCGAAUGCCUCCGGGCCUCAUC